This 564-nucleotide ribosomal RNA is filed under the name Trichoderma hamatum. RNAcentral describes it as "eukaryotic LSU rRNA". The stretch from base 160 to 313 matches the Rfam family "5.8S ribosomal RNA". The record is from RNAcentral. Lineage: Eukaryota; Fungi; Ascomycota; Sordariomycetes; Hypocreales; Hypocreaceae.
AUGUGAACGUUACCAAACUGUUGCCUCGGCGGGGUCACGCCCCGGGUGCGUAAAAGCCCCGGAACCAGGCGCCCGCCGGAGGAACCAACCAAACUCUUUCUGUAGUCCCCUCGCGGACGUAUUUCUUACAGCUCUGAGCAAAAAUUCAAAAUGAAUCAAAACUUUCAACAACGGAUCUCUUGGUUCUGGCAUCGAUGAAGAACGCAGCGAAAUGCGAUAAGUAAUGUGAAUUGCAGAAUUCAGUGAAUCAUCGAAUCUUUGAACGCACAUUGCGCCCGCCAGUAUUCUGGCGGGCAUGCCUGUCCGAGCGUCAUUUCAACCCUCGAACCCCUCCGGGGGAUCGGCGUUGGGGAUCGGGACCCCUCACCGGGUGCCGGCCCUGAAAUACAGUGGCGGUCUCGCCGCAGCCUCUCCUGCGCAGUAGUUUGCACAACUCGCACCGGGAGCGCGGCGCGUCCACGUCCGUAAAACACCCAACUUCUGAAAUGUUGACCUCGGAUCAGGUAGGAAUACCCGCUGAACUUAAGCAUAUCAAUAAGCGGAGGAAAAGAAACCAACCCACCC